This 619-nucleotide ribosomal RNA is filed under the name Anomala dorsalis. RNAcentral describes it as "partial 16S ribosomal RNA". It matches the Rfam family "Bacterial large subunit ribosomal RNA", at positions 1844 to 2758 of the family's 2925-position model. The record is from RNAcentral. Lineage: Eukaryota; Metazoa; Arthropoda; Insecta; Coleoptera; Scarabaeidae.
UUUAAAGUCUAACCUGCCCAAUGAGGAGUUAAAUGGCCGCGGUAAUUUGACCGUGCAAAGGUAGCAUAAUCAUUAGUUUUUUAAUUGAAAGCUGGAAUGAACGGUUGGACGAGAAAAUAACUGUCUCAAUUUAAUUGUAAGUAGAAUUUUAUUUAUAAGUAAAAAAGCUUAUAUGAUUUUAAAAGACGAGAAGACCCUAUAGAGUUUUAUAUUUUAUUUUAUAAGAAAGGGUUAGAAUAUUUAUAUUUUUUAUGAAAUAAAGUAUUUUGCUGGGGCAGCAGAAAAAUUAAUUAAACUUUUUUUAUUUUUAAAACAUUAAUUUAUGAUUGGAUGAUCCAUUAAUUAUGAUUACAAGAUUAAAUUACCUUAGGGAUAACAGCGUAAUUUUUUUUUAGAGUUCUUAUCGAAAAAAGAGUUUGCGACCUCGAUGUUGGAUUAAAAUUAACUUUUGGUGUAGGGGCUAAAAGGUUAGGUCUGUUCGACCUUUAAAAUUUUACAUGAUCUGAGUUUAAACCGGCGUGAGCCAGGUUGGUUUCUAUCUUUAAAAAAAAUAGAUAUCUUAGUACGAAAGGAUUAGAUAUUUUUAAUAUUUAAUAUAUAAUGAAUAUGAUUAAUAAAA